Molecule: ribosomal RNA, 460 nt
Filed under: uncultured bacterium
Lineage: Bacteria
Description: partial 16S ribosomal RNA
Rfam family: Bacterial small subunit ribosomal RNA
Source: RNAcentral
CCUACGGGUGGCAGCAGUGAGGAAUAUUGGUCAAUGGACGAGAGUCUGAACCAGCCAAGUAGCGUGAAGGAUGACUGCCCUAUGGGUUGUAAACUUCUUUUAUAUGGGAAUAAAACGUUCCACGUGUGGGAUUUUGUAUGUACCAUAUGAAUAAGGAUCGGCUAAAUCCGGGCCAGCAGCCGCGGUAAUACGGAGGAUCCGAGCGUUAUCCGGAUUUAUUGGGUUUAAAGGGAGCGUAGGUGGAUUGUUAAGUCAGUUGUGAAAGUUUGCGGCUCAACCGUAAAAUUGCAGUUGAAACUGGCAGUCUUGAGUACAGGAGAGGUAGGCGGAAUGCGUGGUGUAGCGGUGAAAUGCUUAGAUAUCACGAAGAACUCCGAUUGCGAAGGCAGUUCACUGGACUGCAACUGACACUGAGGCUCGAAAGUGUGGGUAUCAAACAGGAUUAGAUACCCCAGUAGUC